Molecule: ribosomal RNA, 397 nt
Filed under: uncultured bacterium
Lineage: Bacteria
Description: partial 16S ribosomal RNA
Rfam family: Bacterial small subunit ribosomal RNA
Source: RNAcentral
AUACGUAGGUGACAAGCGUUAUCCGGAUUUACUGGGUGUAAAGGGCGUGUAGGCGGUUUGGCAAGUCAGAAGUGAAAUUCCCGGGCUUAACUUGGGCGCUGCUUCUGAAACUGCUUAACUUGAGUGCUGGAGAGGAUAGUGGAAUUCCUAGUGUAGCGGUAAAAUGCGCAGAUAUUAGGAGGAACACCGGUGGCGAAGGCGGCUAUCUGGACAGUAACUGACGCUGAGGCGCGAAAGCGCGGGGAGCAAACAGGAUUAGAUACCCUGGUAGUCCGUGCCGUAAACGAUGAAUACUAGGUGUAGGGGGUAUCGACUCCCUCUGUGCCGCAGUUAACACAUUAAGUAUUCCACCUGGGGAGUACGGCCGCAAGGUUGAAACUCAAAGGAAUUGACGGGG